GGGUUGUGAGGUUAAGCGACUAAGCGUACACGGUGGAUGCCCUGGCAGUCAGAGGCGAUGAAGGACGUGCUAAUCUGCGAAAAGCGCCGGCGAGGUGAUAUGAACCCUUGACCCGGCGAUGUCCGAAUGGGGAAACCCAGUGCAAUCCGUUGCACUAUCGUUAACUGAAUACAUAGGUUAACGAGGCGAACCGGGGGAACUGAAACAUCUAAGUACCCCGAGGAAAAGAAAUCAACCGAGAUUCCCCCAGUAGCGGCGAGCGAACGGGGAGCAGCCCGGAGUCUGAAUCAGCUUGUGUGUUAGUGGAACGGUCUGGAAAGUCCGACGGUACAGGGUGAUAGUCCCGUACACGAAAGCACACUUGCUGUGAACUCGAAGAGUAGGGCGGGACACGUGGUAUCCUGUCUGAAUAUGGGGGGACCAUCCUCCAAGGCUAAAUACUCCUGACUGACCGAUAGUGAACCAGUACCGUGAGGGAAAGGCGAAAAGAACCCCGGCGAGGGGAGUGAAAAAGAACCUGAAACCGUGUACGUACAAGCAGUGGGAGCCUCUUUAUGGGGUGACUGCGUACCUUUUGUAUAAUGGGUCAGCGACUUAUAUUCUGUAGCAAGGUUAACCGUAUAGGGGAGCCGAAGGGAAACCGAGUCUUAACUGGGCGUUAAGUUGCAGGGUAUAGACCCGAAACCCGGUGAUCUAGCCAUGGGCAGGUUGAAGGUUGGGUAACACUAACUGGAGGACCGAACCGACUAAUGUUGAAAAAUUAGCGGAUGACCUGUGGCUGGGGGUGAAAGGCCAAUCAAACCGGGAGAUAGCUGGUUCUCCCCGAAAGCUAUUUAGGUAGCGCCUCGUGAACUCAUCUUCGGGGGUAGAGCACUGUUUCGGCUAGGGGGCCAUCCCGGCUUACCAACCCGAUGCAAACUACGAAUACCGAAGAAUGUUAUCACGGGAGACACACGGCGGGUGCUAACGUCCGUCGUGAAGAGGGAAACAACCCAGACCGCCAGCUAAGGUCCCAAAGUCAUGGUUAAGUGGGAAACGAUGUGGGAAGGCACAGACAGCCAGGAUGUUGGCUUAGAAGCAGCCAUCAUUUAAAGAAAGCGUAAUAGCUCACUGGUCGAGUCGGCCUGCGCGGAAGAUGUAACGGGGCUAAACCAUGCACCGAAGCUGCGGCAGCGACACUAUGUGUUGUUGGGUAGGGGAGCGUUCUGUAAGCCGUUGAAGGUGUGCUGUGAGGCAUGCUGGAGGUAUCAGAAGUGCGAAUGCUGACAUAAGUAACGAUAAAGCGGGUGAAAAGCCCGCUCGCCGGAAGACCAAGGGUUCCUGUCCAACGUUAAUCGGGGCAGGGUGAGUCGACCCCUAAGGCGAGGCCGAAAGGCGUAGUCGAUGGGAAACAGGUUAAUAUUCCUGUACUUGGUGUUACUGCGAAGGGGGGACGGAGAAGGCUAUGUCAGCCGGGCGACGGUUGUCCCGGUUUAAGCAUGUAGGCGGAGGUUCCAGGUAAAUCCGGUACCUUGUUAACGCUGAGGUGUGAUGACGAGGCACUACGGUGCUGAAGUGAUAAAUGCCCUGCUUCCAGGAAAAGCCUCUAAGCAUCAGGUAACACGAAAUCGUACCCCAAACCGACACAGGUGGUCAGGUAGAGAAUACCAAGGCGCUUGAGAGAACUCGGGUGAAGGAACUAGGCAAAAUGGUGCCGUAACUUCGGGAGAAGGCACGCUGAU
Molecule: ribosomal RNA, 1721 nt
Filed under: Enterobacter cloacae
Lineage: Bacteria; Pseudomonadati; Pseudomonadota; Gammaproteobacteria; Enterobacterales; Enterobacteriaceae
Description: bacterial LSU rRNA
Rfam family: Bacterial large subunit ribosomal RNA
Source: RNAcentral